AUGCAUGCGGGCAGCUACCAUGCAGUCGAGCGGUAACAGAUCCAGCUUGCUGGAUGCUGACGAGCGGCGGACGGGUGAGUAAUGCAUAGGAAUCUGCCCGAUAGUGGGGGAUAACCUGGGGAAACCCAGGCUAAUACCGCAUACGUCCUACGGGAGAAAGGGGGCUUCGGCUCCCGCUAUCGGAUGAGCCUAUGUCGGAUUAGCUAGUUGGUGAGGUAACGGCUCACCAAGGCCACGAUCCGUAGCUGGUCUGAGAGGAUGAUCAGCCACAUCGGGACUGAGACACGGCCCGAACUCCUACGGGAGGCAGCAGUGGGGAAUAUUGGACAAUGGGGGGAACCCUGAUCCAGCCAUGCCGCGUGUGUGAAGAAGGCCCUCGGGUUGUAAAGCACUUUCAGCGAGGAAGAACGCCUAGCGGUUAAUACCCGCUAGGAAAGACAUCACUCGCAGAAGAAGCACCGGCUAACUCCGUGCCAGCAGCCGCGGUAAUACGGAGGGUGCAAGCGUUAAUCGGAAUUACUGGGCGUAAAGCGCGCGUAGGUGGCUUGAUAAGCCGGUUGUGAAAGCCCCGGGCUCAACCUGGGAACGGCAUCCGGAACUGUCAAGCUAGAGUGCAGGAGAGGAAGGUAGAAUUCCCGGUGUAGCGGUGAAAUGCGUAGAGAUCGGGAGGAAUACCAGUGGCGAAGGCGGCCUUCUGGACUGACACUGACACUGAGGUGCGAAAGCGUGGGUAGCAAACAGGAUUAGUCCCC
RNAcentral lists this ribosomal RNA (752 nucleotides) under Vreelandella aquamarina. Its description in RNAcentral is "bacterial SSU rRNA". It matches the Rfam family "Bacterial small subunit ribosomal RNA", at positions 33 to 786 of the family's 1533-position model. The record is from RNAcentral. Lineage: Bacteria; Pseudomonadati; Pseudomonadota; Gammaproteobacteria; Oceanospirillales; Halomonadaceae.